UCUCCAAACCCACCUCUGUCUCUCUCUCUCUCACCGUUAACUCCUCCACCCCCCUUCCCCGCCGUUUUGCCCAUCGAACUCUUAAAACCCAUUGGUCCUUCCCGAAAACCAUGGAGAUGUGAUCGCCGCCCCCUCUUGGCCGGAGAGAUGGGAGGGAUGACGUCGACGAUGGCUGCGAGGUUCGCUUUCUUCCCGCCGGACCCGCCUUCGUACAGGGUAGUGGUGGAGGAUGAAGCGUCGGGACGGCUGUCCAUGACCACCGUGACGCCGCGGGAGGGGGUGGAAGUACGGCGGCUGUGGACCAGGCGCGGGAGCGGGAUCGUCGCGAUGUACGUUACGAACCCCAACGCGAAGCUCACCCUGCUCUACUCCCAUGGCAACGCGGCCGACCUUGGCCAGAUGUACGAGCUCUUCGUCGGGCUCAGCAAUCACCUCCGCGUCAACUUGAUGGGAUAUGACUAUUCAGGUUAUGGGCAAUCAUCUGGAAAGGCUUCAGAGCAAAAUACUUAUGCUGAUAUAGAAGCUGCUUACAAAUGCCUUAAAGAGACUUAUGGAGCCCAUGAAGAAGAUAUUAUUUUAUAUGGCCAAUCAGUUGGUACUGGUCCUACUUUAGAAUUAGCUGCUCGUUUGCCUCGAUUGAGAGCAGUUGUUCUGCAUAGUCCUAUUUUGUCUGGUCUACGUGUAAUGUAUCCUGUGAAGCAUACAUACUGGUUUGACAUAUAUAAGAACAUUGAUAAAAUGCCACUUGUGAAAUGUCCCGUGCUGGUAAUUCAUGGUACAGAAGAUAAUGUCGUUGAUUGUUCACAUGGGAAGCGCCUGUGGGAACUAUGCAAAGAAAAGUAUGAACCUCUUUGGAUUAAGGGAGGCAACCACAAUAAUCUAGAACUCUUUCCAGAUUACAUCAGGCAUUUAAAGAAGUUCAUAUCAGCCAUAGAGAACUUACUUGUAAGAAAAGAUGAAUCUGUUGAGAGAUCAGAUGUCACUGAGGCUCCUCGGACGAGCUCCGACUGUCUAGAGUCUUCAAGAAUGAGCACAGAUCAGACAGACAUGUCUAGAUCAAGCACUGUCAGUGGGGAUAAAUCUAAGCGGAGAACAGAAAGUGGAGGAAAGUCAAGACCUAGUACUGACAGGAGAGAGAAAUCAAGAAAAAGUGUUGAUAGUUCUAAAGACAUGAAGGAUGACAUGGACCAACCAGAAAAACCGAGGAAAAGCUCUGAUCGCUUUGGAGACAUGAUGAGAUCAAUGGGAUUAUGCAAUAUGGACUGUUUGAAAGACACAGCUUCCAAGGCCUAAGCAAUACAAAGGUGAGUUAUUGGUUUUGGGUGGUGUUGCUUUUUUUCGUUUGAUUUAUCGGUUGGACAGUUUGUCUUUGUUGAUGGCAGAUAAAUUUGUUUGUGUCCUUUUUUAACCAAUAAAAAGCAAUCACAUGGAGAAUGAAUGGUGUUCAGCUCUUUUCCCUUCCCUUCUGUUCCCUUCUUCCACCAGAUGGUUAGUUCUAGCGUAUGUGCCAAUGAGUGUCAUGCUGUCCAUAUAAUGGAGUAAUAUGUUACAUCAGACAACCGAUGUUGAAAUUAGUUUUGCUUCCCGUUGUCCGUCCGCGCAUAUCUCUGUAUUUAGGCCCUCUCUUUUUUCUUUUUUUUUUCACGUCAUGCAUGUUAUUUCUUUGAGAAAGAUGGUUGUCGGUAAUGAAGUGGCCAAGUCUUUUUUUUUUUUUUGUGUGUGUUGGCAGAAUUCACCAGGAUGAGGCAGGGUUAUUUGUGAAGUGCACAGAUAAAUGAGGCAGGGUUAUGCUGCCCCUAAAAUUUUGAUACUGCUAGAAAUCAAAUGUGAUGUUUGUCCGAUCAAUAUUUAGGUUGCAAGAAGGAUACUAAAUUUGGGAUUGUUACUUUUACCUUCCUGAAGAAUCAAAUGUGAUGCUUACCUCAUGUGGUCUAUCUAUCCCAAUCACAGCCCUCUUUUUAUCCGAUCAACAUCAUGAGGUGUAAAUUUUCACCUCCAAUUGGUUUGGUGGUAUACAUCAUCCCAUUCGGGUUGUGCUAUUUAUGGUUGGUUGGUAGUGAUGAUUGUACAACCACGGUAUAAAGAGAGAGAAAUUUACCUUCGAUUCUCUCAUUUGAUGUUUUUAUG
Musa acuminata AAA Group (dessert banana) is the source of this 2127-nucleotide RNA transcript. RefSeq lists it as uncharacterized. NCBI's taxonomy places the organism in Eukaryota, Viridiplantae, Streptophyta, Magnoliopsida, Zingiberales, Musaceae. The transcript is spliced from 7 exons. The record is from RefSeq and is a predicted model, not a curated record.